This is a non-coding RNA of Triticum urartu, 2268 nucleotides long. NCBI's taxonomy places the organism in Eukaryota, Viridiplantae, Streptophyta, Magnoliopsida, Poales, Poaceae. The record is from RefSeq and is a predicted model, not a curated record.
AUGGGGCAGACCAAAUUCAAGGGCCAAUGUAUAGAAAUCUCUACUCUUAAUGAAGCAGUUGGUAGUCUCGCUUUCAGGUUUUUUUUCGUUCCGGUUUUUUUUCGUCCCAUCUCCCAACAUCAUGUUUCUUUGGUUUUUUUCGUAUGGUUUUUUCACCUCCCCACGAUCGGUCCGCUCACACACCGCCCACAGAAAAAUCCAUCGCCACCCACGACUCCCUCACCCUGACUAGGGUUCCUAGCCCUAUCCUCCGCCGCCGUUGCGUGUUCCCGUCUGACAUCGCCCGAGCGCUUUGUUGACCUCGCCGGGAGCAGCCAGCUGGAUCACGCCGCCAUGCCUCCCUCUCUCCCUUCUCUUCUUUUCCCCUACCUUCUCUCUCUCCUCUGAACUGCGCAUGCUCCUGUUAGAGGCCGGGGACACCUCGGCACACGCCGCCUACCGGGAGACGCCGGUGCUGGACAGGGAUAGCCAGGCAGCCGUGCACGUGCAAGGUCGGUUCCGCGGCACUGCCUCGUCCAGCCCAAGCCGCUCAUCCGCGUUGCCGUGUUCGCUCAAGCCGUUGCGUCCCGUGGAGGAGGGAGCAGGCACAUGAACGCGGGCGCCGCUGGAGAUGUUGAUGAAAAGAUGAGGAAUUUCAUUCCGUUGAUGCUUCAGCAAUCCUUUUAUCUCACCACGCCCACAUGCUCCGACGAAGCAAUUCUCAACGGCGGUGGCUGGUUGACUCGUCUCAGGUCACAGUGAUUAGUGCCAAUUAGCCUGAUCGUGCAGUGAUGCCAGCUGGAUCACGCCGCCGUGCCUCCCUCUCUCCCUUCUCUUCUUUUCCCCUACCUCUCUCUCUCCUCUGAACUGCUCCUCUCUGCAGGUGCCGCCAUGGCCGCGUCCUCGCCGCCGUGGGCUGCGCGCCCCUUCGAUGACAGCCUUCCUCGCCCACGUCCAGGUCCUCUCAAUCCUAAUUUGACGAAUGGGAGCGGAAGCUGCAAUGUCAAGAUCCGCAAGCAGGACAUGAACCACCUUGCCAUGAAUUUCCUCGUCACAUUAGGAUUCAUCGACGCCACCAACAGUUACUAUCAUUGGAAGUGCCAGACAGAUCUCGCCGUCAAGAGUAGCGCUGCAGGUUCAUUCACCUGGUUGGCCUCUUAUGUAACUGGUGUUGUUGUGUCCAUGUGGAAGGAGAGCCCGCUUCUCCGGGACGCCGGCGCUGACAUGCUCACCGUAGGCGACGUCAUGGCGGUGCUCGACUUCAGGGAGGAGGUCGGCAACCACCACUUCUUGGACCAAGAUUCUCGAGGAAAUAGCACAAGCUAAUUCAAAAUCAUCUCUUAGUUGAUCAAGCAUGUAAUCAUAAAGUGAAGGUAGAGAAGUUUGGAAUAGUAACCUCGUGGUUUCAUUACCCACGCAUUGGAGAUCCCAUGCAAACUAUUGUGAUUUGUGAGAAGUUUCAGAAAUUUGCAAUUUGUGAGCGGCGUAAAAAUGUCAUAAAUACAGUCACAAACCCAUCAGAUCUAUGCUAUGGAUGCCGUGGUGAUUGCUGGAACGGAGGGUUCCUGGGAUGAUGAGAAGAUGAAUCUAAAUGGUCUGACGGUCUGAGUACUCGUCGGCAUGACAAGGUGACUACAGAUCCACCAUAACAUGUGAGUGGCAAUGCUCCAGGACAAGCAGCCGGCGAUGGCAUACCUUCACAGAAUGGAGUACGGCGUAGGUGUUCAAGGGUUGUAUCAGGCCGCAUGGGAAGAACCUGAAGUUGCAAGUGGAUACAGUCAAGAACAUAGUUAAAGGUGAUAUGGGAGAUAAGUUCCAUAGGCAAGCUGGAUUGAGGCUUGAUGAGCCGAACCCAAGGGACGUGCUUAGUUUCUACCACAAAAUUCUAUCAUUCACAUCAACGGAUGUUGCAAAGAAGUGGUUCAAGCAUACUUAUCCAAAUCUUAUAAUCCUGAGGGAGAAGACUUUGUGAAGGAGUUCAGGCUGAAUGGCCAGUUAACAAGAAUCGGGUGGAUCUGCGUGUGGUGGAUGAUCGUUUACAAGGAAUGUUGAAUGUAUGGUUCCUGCAGAUGUUCAGGUGGCGCCACGUAUUCGACCUGCGAUUUGUGAAACAGUGAAGUCACUGCCAUCGCCAUGAGAGUGGAGCAGCAUCACUAUAAGAUGUGGCGGAUUGGUGGGUCCCGGGUCAAAAAGUGCCCAAGACUCGCGCAACCAAGUUUUCUGGAGGCCGAGCAACAUGACAUAGCCACGGACAAAAUGGAGGAAGGGAAGGGUGUGGAGGAGAGGGGA